CCUACGGGUGGCAGCAGUGGGGAAUAUUGCACAAUGGGGGAAACCCUGAUGCAGCGACGCCGCGUGAGCGAUGAAGUAUUUCGGUAUGUAAAGCUCUAUCAGCAGGGAAGAAAAUGACGGUACCUGACUAAGAAGCCCCGGCUAACUACGUGCCAGCAGCCGCGGUAAUACGUAGGGGGCAAGCGUUAUCCGGAUUUACUGGGUGUAAAGGGAGCGUAGACGGUCGUGCAAGCCGGAUGUGAAAGCCCGGGGCUCAACCCCGGAACUGCAUUGGAAACUGUAAGGCUGGAGUGUCGGAGAGGCAGGCGGAAUUCCUAGUGUAGCGGUGAAAUGCGUAGAUAUUAGGAGGAACACCAGUGGCGAAGGCGGCCUGCUGGACGAUGACUGACGUUGAGGCUCGAAAGCGUGGAGAGCAAACAGGAUUAGAUACCCGAGUAGUC
Molecule: ribosomal RNA, 440 nt
Filed under: uncultured bacterium
Lineage: Bacteria
Description: partial 16S ribosomal RNA
Rfam family: Bacterial small subunit ribosomal RNA
Source: RNAcentral